GGGUUGUGAGGUUAAGCGACUAAGCGUACACGGUGGAUGCCCUGGCAGUCAGAGGCGAUGAAGGACGUGCUAAUCUGCGAUAAGCGUCGGUAAGGUGAUAUGAACCGUUAUAACCGGCGAUUUCCGAAUGGGGAAACCCAGUGUGAUUCGUCACACUAUCAUUAACUGAAUCCAUAGGUUAAUGAGGCGAACCGGGGGAACUGAAACAUCUAAGUACCCCGAGGAAAAGAAAUCAACCGAGAUUCCCCCAGUAGCGGCGAGCGAACGGGGAGCAGCCCAGAGCCUGAAUCAGUGUGUGUGUUAGUGGAAGCGUCUGGAAAGGCGCGCGAUACAGGGUGACAGCCCCGUACACAAAAAUGCACAUGCUGUGAGCUCGAUGAGUAGGGCGGGACACGUGGUAUCCUGUCUGAAUAUGGGGGGACCAUCCUCCAAGGCUAAAUACUCCUGACUGACCGAUAGUGAACCAGUACCGUGAGGGAAAGGCGAAAAGAACCCCGGCGAGGGGAGUGAAAAAGAACCUGAAACCGUGUACGUACAAGCAGUGGGAGCCUCUUUUAUGGGGUGACUGCGUACCUUUUGUAUAAUGGGUCAGCGACUUAUAUUCUGUAGCAAGGUUAACCGAAUAGGGGAGCCGAAGGGAAACCGAGUCUUAACUGGGCGUUAAGUUGCAGGGUAUAGACCCGAAACCCGGUGAUCUAGCCAUGGGCAGGUUGAAGGUUGGGUAACACUAACUGGAGGACCGAACCGACUAAUGUUGAAAAAUUAGCGGAUGACUUGUGGCUGGGGGUGAAAGGCCAAUCAAACCGGGAGAUAGCUGGUUCUCCCCGAAAGCUAUUUAGGUAGCGCCUCGUGAAUUCAUCUCCGGGGGUAGAGCACUGUUUCGGCAAGGGGGUCAUCCCGACUUACCAACCCGAUGCAAACUGCGAAUACCGGAGAAUGUUAUCACGGGAGACACACGGCGGGUGCUAACGUCCGUCGUGAAGAGGGAAACAACCCAGACCGCCAGCUAAGGUCCCAAAGUCAUGGUUAAGUGGGAAACGAUGUGGGAAGGCCCAGACAGCCAGGAUGUUGGCUUAGAAGCAGCCAUCAUUUAAAGAAAGCGUAAUAGCUCACUGGUCGAGUCGGCCUGCGCGGAAGAUGUAACGGGGCUAAACCAUGCAC
This 1161-nucleotide ribosomal RNA is filed under the name Escherichia coli. Its description in RNAcentral is "partial 23S ribosomal RNA". It matches the Rfam family "Bacterial large subunit ribosomal RNA", at positions 1 to 1194 of the family's 2925-position model. The record is from RNAcentral. Lineage: Bacteria; Pseudomonadati; Pseudomonadota; Gammaproteobacteria; Enterobacterales; Enterobacteriaceae.